GCUGGGGAGGGAAGGGAAGAGGCUAAAGGUGAUUUGAACUUGUUUUUAGCCUUUUCCUAAUGACAUCCUCCUCUGUAGGAGUGCAUCGCCACCUUCCCCACACGUUUAUUUUGCUUUCACUCCUCCGGGCACUUUCUAGUUCUGAGUUGUCAGCUGGGAGGAUUGGGUUUACCUCACUCGUGUUGCUGUGGGUAAGGGCGGGAGAGGGGGCGUAUUACAUAAUUAAUCCUUCCAACUUCACUUUCCGCAGCUCCAUCUCCAGCCCACUGUUCUCACGUUUCUGUUUUGUUUUUAUACGGAGGAGGUGAGAAAAGAAUGCUGGUGUGUGGGUGUGUGUUGCUCGAAGGAUUUCAAGGACCAGAACAGGAUUGCUGCUCUCUGAACAGUUUGAAAUUAUUUCCUCUGGGGGUGCCAAUGGAGACCUGAAGAAGAGAUACUGCAUGACUUACCCUGGCACCUAUUCUUGUCCUCCUCCACCUCUUUGUCAACACAGAUGAUACCUGAUUGCUCAUCCUUGAAAGUGGUGCUGAUGUUUUACACAUACUGGGAAAGCCUUCCUGUCUCUUAGUUUCCAGCAUAAGCAAGAAUGUUUUGGUCCGGAGCUCCUUUGGAAAUCUGCCAGAUGGUGUCUUCACUCCAUUUAUAUUCUAUAUGUGAUUGAGGAAACUGCUUUGAAAACAUACACACAGAUUUCUCUAAUCUGCUUUAUUCCAAAGAGAAAAUGACUGGUCCUACUGGAACUUUUUUUUUUUUUUUUUUCUUUUUUUUUUUUUUGUUGUAUAAUUUUAAUAGACUUGUAAUAAUUUUAAGAGACUCAGAGCAGCUUGUUUACAUAUACGGAUGUCUGUGAGCACUCAAAGACACUUGGCCAGUCAUUCAGUUUGAAUAUGAGGCUCAGUGCAAGUUCCUGUUAAUACUGAAAUUCACAGCAACACUGAACUUGAGAAAUGUGAGCUUUCAUACUGUUUAGGGGACAAAUUGUACUCCCAUCAUAAGAAUACAAAUCCUGCUGACAUCACCCAUUACCCAAGGGUGAUAACAGGUUAUUGGAACUAUCAUGGGAACAUAUUUCUGAACCUCUGUUCUGUUAGAUCUUGAGGAAAAGAAAACUGUCAUGAAGAAAAUGUCAUGGUAGUAGAAGUGUUUGCAGCAAAGCCAGGAGGUGUCAAAAGCAUCUUCUGAGUUUAAAUAUAUCAUGUGUAAGUACAUGUGAAGGUCACCAAGUAUUAGGAAUUGAGUACAGUGGUGCUGAAGGGAAAGUGGAAAGGGAAGCAUUUAUUACUUCAGAAUUCCAAUAAUAGCAGCUGUGGUUGAGGCUGCUGUGCUACUUGCUGAGCAUGGCAAUAACACUGUGCUGGCCCUCAGAAGAUUCAGACUUAUUGCCAGCUUUGUCAUUAGCUUGGAUGACACCCACAUAUCUGUAUUUGAGGUGGGGUAAUCCUGUACAUAGGUGCAGACUGAGAAAUUGCAGGGCAGCCCUGCUGGAAAGCAUCUGGGGCUUUUGGAGUGGAGGUGUGGUAGGUUGGGCAUGACUCAUCACACACUGCUGCUGCAUGAAAGGUGAGCUGUAUCAUUCAUCUCCAUCAAAUGGAAAGCGGCCAGUGGGGUGAGGGAAGUAUGAUUCUGUCUCUACUUGGAACUGCUGAGACUACAUCAUUGAUUCUGUGUCCAGAGCUGGGUCCUCUGGUCCAGGAAGGAGGCUGAUACAUUGCAGAUGGCUCAGUGAAAGACUGCUACAAUGGUCUCUUAAGAGCUAAGCUCUGAGAAAAACGGUCAAAAACUGCCUUUUUAAGCCAGUAAUGUUUUAUGCUAGCUUUGAGGAUUGUAGCUAAGAUGACCCAAACUCCACUUGGUAUAGUCAGAUCAUUUAAUAAUGGGCAACAGCAUGUCAUGGCUUUGGAAAUUCAGAUUAAGUAUUAGCCAAUUCUUGGACUAUAAAUCCACUUCCUAUUUGGAUGGCAAAAUAUUGGGGCAAAAAUAUAUUCCUAUUUCAAUAUCCUCACCAAAUUUUGUUAUCUAAUCCAUUUUGAUUUGUUAUUGGAAGGAUCCUCCUGUAGCAUUACUUUGCAUUGUUUUUAUUGCUCGGGAAGUCACAGUGACUUCCUUUGUCUCAAAAGAUACCUUUGGCAAUUUUUCCAGUCUCUUCAUCCACUUUUAUCACUACCGUGUCUCUCAAAGUUGCCAGUACUUCCGAUAUUACUCUUAUUCCUGAAACUUGCCUAUGUUAAUUAUGAGAAGAGAAUUCUAAUUCACACUGCAAAUUUAAAGAUCUCAUUUUAUUUAUGCUCUUCCUUCCUUGUCCGUUGGUUUUCCUCAUUAAUUUCCUCCCCACCCCCCGCCCCCCUGCCGAGUCCAUAAUCUUCUUCUCCUUCUUCAUUAACACUGCAUAUUCCAGCCUUUUCCUGGGAAUCAUUGCAGUUUUCAACCAUUGAUGUUAGGUUUGAGUGAGGAAGGGUCUGUCAGUAGCUAAGCUGAUCUGACAUACGCACUGCUUCAGGCCAAGAAUAUGUGUCCAGGGCUCAGACCAUUCAGUCUUAAAUUAUAGACACCUUCUCACAAACAAACCCUUAGCUAUACUUACAGAUAAUGGAACAUCCCAGAGCUAUCUCUGCAAGAUAUUUUAAUUUUUUUUUCUAAGACUUUAGACUUCAUUUUAUUUAAAAGCAGAAGCUCCAUUUUGCAGUUGCAAACCUAAAAACUUCAUCUAAAUGGAACCAAAAUGUUUUUUGUUCCACUGAGAGUGCCAAACUCUGAAUAAGUUCUAACUGGGUCAGUUGGAAGAAAGUUAUAUUUUGAAAAUUUCUGUAAGGGUCACCAAAGUGUGUCUCCAGUCCUCUGUGGAUUGGAGGAGCUAAGCAGGUUUUUGAGAACUGUGAUUACUACAAUGGCAGAUAAAUGGGCAUAGUAUCUUGAUAUGUUUGUUAUAUACUGACCUUGUUCAGUUCCCACCUAACUUUUUGAGCAUUUACAAAUCAUGUACUCAGAACAGACAGCAAAAUACUUCUGAAGUUUGAUGACAAAGUUAUCUUAAGCUUAUGAGGUAACUAAAAUUUUUGUUAUGCAAAAGUUUUCCCCUGGUAAGAAAAACAUAUUGGAGUGAAGGAACCACAACAAUUACUAAGUAACUGAGGAACUCUCUCAUAUGAAGAUAGGCUCAUAGUACUUGAUGUGGGAGGGACUAAAAAAGAUGAAGACAGACUCAUCUCAGUGGUACUCAGCAAAAGGAGAAGAGGAGAUGAGCAUAAAUUGAAAAGAAGGACAUGGAAAUGUUAAAAAUGAUCACUUUUUUUACGGUGAAGACAUUCAAAGAUAUUUUGUUGCUUCCUUCCUCAGAUGUGUUAAAAAACCUGGCUACAAAUGGCCCCAACUGUAGCUGACAGUCCUUGGAGUGGGGGCUGGACUAGAUGAUUUCCUGAUGUCUUUUCUAACUUCAGUGGUCAUGAAAUUCUGUGUGCUUGUGGAAAAGCCAUGAAAAUUACUUAGAUGUCUCAGAUCUGACAAAUGGGCAUUUAUCUUUUUGCUUUCUCUUCUGUAUUAUUCCUGAAGGCUUGAAAAGAAAAGAUUAUAUAUAUAUAAUGUCAUACCAUGGUGAUUUGAUAUGUGCAGGCAAUAUUUUCACAGGAAAAAUAUGCUGAGAGAAGUGGCAGACUGUUACUUGUAUUCUAUUCUAGAGUUCUCACAGGAGAGAGAAGGUGUGUAAUGUUGUUUGAAGAGCUAAAUCUCAUGAGUCAUCUCCCAUAAGCUAUCAAUGGGUGCAGAAUAUUGUACCCAGGCACACAGCUCAUCAGAAAGUGAAGUAAUACUCUCGGAGUCAUGCACUCACUGAAAAGAAAUGCAAAUCACUAGAGUCCAUCUUAUCCUGUCACUUCUCUUGUGUGAUAGCUUUAAGAAACUUUAUUUUCUGAGAAAAAUUCCACCUUCUACCUUAAACUGUUUUCUGGAAUCUGAGAUGGAAUUUUAUGCUUAAAGACCCAUUUCUUUUUCAUCUGCUCUGCCUUUCUCUCCUGAUGGAUUAUAGCCUGAUUAACAAGUUUGAGAUGAAGAGCAAAUAGGUAAAAAUGUCACUAUUCGUUCAAACAAGAAGUUUUCUUGCUUUCUAAAUAUCAAAUCUUACUUAUUUCUUUGCUUCUUAGGGUGCCUAAACGUUUGAAUUGCUAUGUCACAUGAGGUUAGAGGAAUUAAAUUAGACCACAGAUGAAGCUGCAAUAAUUGAAAUUACACCUCUUUUUUAUUUCUUUGCCCAAUAGCAGGCAUUCUGUCAUCUUGGUUUUUGUCGUUUUCUGUUUUUCAGAAAAUGGAUAAGGCAUUUAUUUGCCUCCUUCAGUGAUACACAUAACGCUUUGGGAGCACUCCUGUAAAACAUUUUAACUGGAAGAUCUAUGAAAAUAACUUAGAUGGCUCUGUCAGAUGUGGCCUAGAGAAGCCCGUCAAUCUUCAAAUCCCAUUGUUCCAGGUGCAACCAGGCAAAUGAAGCAUUGAUCCUAAAAAUUCACCCAUGGGCAGUGGGAUUGGAAUUAGAUGGUCUUUGAAGUCCUUUCUAACACAAACCAUUCUAUGACCCUGUGAUAUGUUUUCCAGAUUUACUCUUUGAAUAUGUCCCUAAAAAUAAACUCUGAAAUGAAAUCUUUCUUCAUGCGUGUUAUGUUCUGCUUAUGAACACUUUAAAAUGAGAUGAAUUUUCUCAAAACCUCAUAAAAAUCCAUCAAAGCCAGUGAUGAUCAGAUUUUGUGUAGAAUGCUUAAAUGACAAUGCACUAUUCAUGUGUCUCACUGUUUUCUGCUCAGGUUUCUCCUUUUCCCGUCAAUCCACCAUGUGCCUUUGGCAGCUAAUUCUGUAUCUUAUGGAUACAGAAAGAACAGUCUCUUCAUUUGGGUUGAUUUAUCUGUGGCUGCUUGAUAUUUGAUUUAUCCAAAAUGGAAAAACUGACAGAUAUUCCAAAACAACAACAAAAAAAUCUCCAAACUCAGUUUUUAUUUUGUAAGAUCAGGCCAAAACAAUCUAUUUCUAUUCUGUAACUGCAGCUAAUAGUUAUCUUUCUCCCUAGAGGGAUUCAAUAUCAAUGCAGGAAAUUUGAUAAGCUACUUUAUUCUUGUAUAGCCAACAUCUUUACAGCAGCAUCACUAAAGAAUAAAAUAAAUUAAAAUCCAUUUGAGUUUUGAGUUGAACUCCAUUUCUUUACAAAAGCCUGCUUAACCUACACAAUGAAUGAGAAAGCUUUUCACCUACCAAAUAGGAAAUUCACCAUUUCUAAAGACAAUAAAAUGACAAAAGUAAGAAUCUGAUUUGCGUGCUUCAUUAGUCAUGUUUUAAUGCACAAUUGAUUUAGCAAAUUUACAAAGGCAAUGUCUCAUUUUGUCUAGUGAAAAGACCAUAUUAUACAAAUCUAGAAAGAAAUCAUCUUUAUAAAAAAAAGUAGCUA
This is a long non-coding RNA of Passer domesticus (house sparrow), 5419 nucleotides long. RefSeq lists it as uncharacterized. The record is from RefSeq and is a predicted model, not a curated record. Lineage: Eukaryota; Metazoa; Chordata; Aves; Passeriformes; Passeridae. The transcript has 4 exons.